This 512-nucleotide ribosomal RNA is filed under the name Thermotogales bacterium enrichment culture clone DF.65.52. Its description in RNAcentral is "bacterial SSU rRNA". It matches the Rfam family "Bacterial small subunit ribosomal RNA", at positions 311 to 813 of the family's 1533-position model. Lineage: Bacteria; Thermotogati; Thermotogota; Thermotogae; Thermotogales. The record is from RNAcentral.
CAAGGACACUGAGACACGGGUCCUACUCCUACGGGAGGCAGCAGUGCGGAAUAUUGGACAAUGGGCGAAAGCCUGAUCCAGCGACGCCGCGUGCGGGACGAAGGCCUUCGGGUCGUAAACCGCUGUGGUAAGGGACGAAUAGCCGGUGGAGUGGAAAGCCACCGGAGGAGACGGUACCUUACUAGGAAGCCCCGGCUAACUACGUGCCAGCAGCCGCGGUAAUACGUAGGGGGCGAGCGUUACCCGGAAUCACUGGGCGUAAAGGGAGCGUAGGCGGCCCAGCAAGUCGACUGUGAAAAACCGGAGCUCAACUUCGGUCCUGCGGUCGAAACUGCUGGGCUUGAGGACAGUAGAGGGAGACGGAACUGCCGGUGUAGGGGUAAAAUCCUUAGAUAUCGGCAGGAACGCCGGUGGCGAAGGCGGUCUCCUGGGCUGGACCUGACGCUGAGGCUCGAAAGCCAGGGGAGCGAACGGGAUUAGAUACCCCGGUAGUCCUGGCCCUAAACGAUGUU